AAAGGGUUCUACAAGGAAGGUUUAUGAAAACCUUGAGAAUAAAAAUGCAGAAUAAUCAUAUCCUUAUAGAUUGUAUCAAGACGACAGAAAUUGUAUGAUCAGACCCCUGACCAUCGCCUCAGCUCAUCAUUGCGUCAUCUGGAUGGCUUCCCUAAGCUCCCACCUGGGCCCAGAAAGGAAACGGCUUAUGACCUGCAGUCUUUGACUAUCACCAUCUCCAUUCUAUUUAUGGCCCUGCUGCACCUCUGUGCAAAUUAGGAGAAGGUGACCCUCUUGUGGGGAUGGAGGAGAAGGACAAACCAGGCCGUGAUCUGGCCAGUAAAGUGGGACUGGGCUGGCUCCUGGUGGGCUUUGGUAAGGUGUAACCUGCACCAUGGUCAUUACUGCCCAAAAUGAGAGCCAUCAGCUUGCUAAGAAUCGCUGAGCCCGGAGCGCCACUCUUGGGUGAAGAUGCUUCUUUCAGAUCCCCGCCUACCCACCUGCAAGGCUUGCAGGAAGUCUUGAGAAGAACCAAGAAGGAGGCUGAUGCUCCUAGUUGUUCAUGAGCAGCCAAUGUGGUAGGCUGAUGCCUAACAGUUUCCACCUUCUUCUGCAUUUGUGGCUGAGGAUCUACCCAUGAGCCCCACAGAGCAAGAGCUGCCAGAUUAAUGCUCCUGCCUAUGACAUGGAAAUUGUCAAAAAUAGACCUGAAUCCUUGCCAGGCCUCCCCAUGAUUUCUGUGUAGUAUGGCCUUAAAUAUAUUAGAUAAGUCAGAAGCCUAAAAUAGCUCAGCUCUUAGAAUAACAGAAUUUGGUCCCCUCCCACUUCCGUAAGUUGAAUUCUUAAUUGCUAAAUUUCAGGCUUUUUUGUUGUUGUUUAUGUAAGAAUUUCAAGGCCACAACUCCAUAUUUGAAGUAAAGUGCUCAUAAAAUUAAUUGCAAGACUUCUGAAGAGAGAUUUGCUAGGAAAAAUAAAAAGAUAUAUAAAUUUCAGUGAUGCUGAAGGUUUUGAGAAGCCAUCUGCAGCUCACAACUAGAUGAGUGACACAAUCAGAUGUGCGUAUGCAAAAAAAAGCCUGGAGACAUUGAACUAAGAUCAAAUUUAAUGUAUUAAAUAUGGUAGAAAGAAGAGAGAAUGAAAAAUAAUGUUAACAAUCUAGGUGAGGAAUUGCUGAGGAGACAAAUUAAGUAAAUCCUGUGGAAGGAAAGAAGAAAGGAGGAAAGAGGAUUGGAUGGAAGAAUCUCCACUUCUCAUAGGUGUAGUCCUUCCUUAGCCUGCUUUUUAAUGAGUGCUGCUAAAGCCCUUAGCCUGCCUGUUUACCCUUGGAGUGGAGCAAUGAACUGAAGAUAUUUGAGUGAGUUCAAGAGAGACUCAGAAGAGAAGAAUUGGAGGCAGCAAACAUAGACAGCACUUUUAAUGCUUUUCUCAUAUGCUGUAAGACAUGAAAGCAAUCUAUUGGGAUGAAAGCUGAAAGGAGAAGCGGGACAAGAGAAGAAGAGAAGCAAGAAACCAAAUACUGGGGGAUAUAUUGCACAAGUAUAACUUCAAGAAACCCAAGCCAGUGCAAACAAUUCAAAAAAUAAUGGAACCCGAAGACAGCGAACCUUCCAGGGAUGCUAUGGACAUUUAUCCCCUCUGCUAACAUUUAUGUUUCUGUAGUUGAGGUUCAGUUAUAUCACAGUUUAGACAACUCCCUAGAAACAAUGAUCCCUGUUAAAGCUGCUCCAGGAGCACAGGAAUUCCUUUGAUGAGCUCUAAGAGAUUGGUAACAAUACCUCCUGAAGGGCCGUGUUGCUAGGUAACAGCUUGUUUCCUUGGUCACAGUGAAUCCGUGGAAGACCCCCAAAAGAGGCUGCAGAUUCUUAGUGGACAGCUCUCAUAUCCCCUCCAGGGAAAAUGAUGAAAAAUGUCUUCAGAAAAAUAGCUUUAUGAAGGCAAGAGGACUUUUUGCACCUGCAAGACAUGUCUGAAAGCUCCUCAGGUCAAAACACAAGUAGUCAAGAGAUUUGUCCAUCUAAUUCAUCAUACUACUCUGAUCCAAGUGAGACCCACACUGGGUCAGCUCCAUCAAGGAGAAGAACAUUCCACCCACGUUUGGAUUCUGGAAUAUCAUCCUUGCUUCCAUCAGAUUCUUGUAAGUACCUCACUUGGCACAAGGUAGACAUGACGUUCAAGGAAGUCAACUGCGUUGCCCAAGAGUAAGAGAAGGAAUCUCUGAAGAAGAGCAACUUUUCAGACAGGUAGAGUGUGCCUUGCUCCCAAGGAAAAGAGUUCUUGAAAAAAACAAAUGGGAAACAUGGCUACAAGAAAACUGGGAAGACUGCAAGAAUUUGAACAUUUCAUUUCAGGGUUUGGGGGAUCCUUACCAAGUUGAAAAUUUUAACAGAAUUCUUAGAAGACUAAUUCGAGUUGAAACCCUCUGGUUAGUGGAUAAUUCACUGGUGGACUUAAGUGCCAUAAGAUUGCCAAGGCAAAAACAUGCUAACUGACAAGAAAAUCAUGGGUUUUAUACAAGGAUAACAAGUGCUGGGUUGCUUAGCUAUGAGGAAGGCUAGGCUCACUGCAUACCAGAAGAUGUACAGCGUUGGAGAAUUCAGGGAUUUUUAUCAACAAUCAAACUAUAUUUGUGGAAAUUUUGUGCAUAAGUGCCAAAGAUGGCUGACAUCGGACCACAUUCUAUUUAACUCAACUGAAUGACACCAAGCUCUCAUCCUAAAACUUAUAGUUACAUCCACCCUUCUGAAAUAUUUAAUUAUUCUCCAAUACACUGGAGGUAAUAGGUAUAAAAAGAAUGAGCAUGUGCAACUUAGUAUCUCAUAUCUAAUUUUGUGUCCCAAGUUCAUUCUUCCCCUGAAUGUCCCAUGUCUACCAGGUGCAGGAUUAUCUGGAUGGGUCAGUUCAAAACAAUUUCAGGGAAUAAAUUGUGUAGGGGACUCAAUUUUCUGAGACAGAAACAUAAUGUGAAUAACUCCUUUGUUAGAAAAUAAUUUCAGUGACAGAAAGCCUUUCAGUUCAUAAAGAAAACUUACAUAUCAACAAGCCUAGCUCCUCACUAGUCCCAGUGAAUGCUUACAUCAAUCAGCUCUACAAUAUCCAGUAAAGGACUUUCCAAUUCGCCUUUGAAUAAACUGAGGUAUUGGAAACAUCUAAGAAAAUGGUUUUUAAUUCUUCCUAAUCUUCAGGGAGUUCUUCCUUAUAUUGAGCUGAUAUCUGCCCUCUGUAACUUUCAACUAAUUAUUCAAAUCUCUCAAGUGAUUAUAAUUAAUUCCAUCUUAUAAGGAAUUUUUCUCAGCUUCCAGCCUCUUGAAAAUACUCUGAUAUUUUCUCUAAUAUUCAAGUGGAAAUGUAAAUGGGUAACGUAAGAGUCUGUGGGGUUAGGAGGGUGGAGGAAAGGUAAGGGAAAGCUAAUGAGAAAUAACCAAAGCAAGAAAAAGAAUUUUAUUUUCUUCAAGUUCUUUGUACAUCCAAAGUGGAAGAUUCCUAAAAUAAAUUCCCCAUACCACAUUUUAAAAAUUAGGUUAGCAAGCUUACUUUUUAAUUUAUUUAGAAGCCAACUACUUCCAUUUAUUAUUUCUUUCCAGAAUAGAACAAUUAUCACUAAUUGUUUGUCAUUAUAAUGCCAAACUAUGUUAAUAGAUGCCUAUUUUUUUAAAGGCUAAUUGCAAUCAUGAAACCAAAUAUCUAAUUAGUUUUAGAGCUUUGGACCACAUGCAUCAAUAUUUGAAUCAUUCAGGUGUAUAUUUGCUUUCUGCUUUUUUGUCUCUUCAAAAGAAGUAUUAUAUGCAUUCUGUUUAUAAUUUCUAAAUGGUCAUUUCAAAACUGAUUAUACGAGUUUAUACAAAUCAUACUGAAAUUUGUUGCUUAAAAAAUCUUCAUUUUUCUCUAAGCUCUCAGUGUCCUUGAGCUAUAUAUAUUUUAUGGCAAUUUUUACUUAAUAGUUUGUAUGCUAGUUAUUUUUGACAAUGACUACUAAAAUGCAAGUUUCUUCAAGGGCAGAUUCACCUUAGUUCUUCUUUAUACCCCUCAAAAACCUCAGGGUUAUUCUCAAUAAGUAUUGAGUAGGUGAGUGAACUUUGGAUGUAUACUCCUUGAAAUUAUAUUUCUGGAGCUGGAAAACUUUAAAAAAAUGUAUGUCAUGAGUCUAAAGAAAUAAACAUUAUAUGGCUGAAAAAAUACUUUGUGAAAACCAAAAAUCUCAUGGAAUCAUGAACUUAUCUAUGGGACAGAUGUUAGCCCUGAGGUUGUUCUGGGCUUCUUUUCUACCCACUUCCCAUGACCAAAUCAGUUCACUAGUCAGCAGUUCUAUCCUUCCUCUCCUUCUCCUUCCAUCUAAGGAGCUAGAGCUGAACUGCUUGGCCACUGAUUGCUGACAUGCUGAGUUUUCUACAGCUGGAGUUUUCAAGAGGGCUUUGAUUUUGCUUUCCCCAGUUUUCCUUCUUCCACACUUGAAAAGUGGUAAGGGUACCAGCUUUCUGUCUAUCUCUGACUCUCUCUCUCUCUUUCACACACACACACACACACACACACACACACACACACACUUUUUUUUUUCUUCCACCCUCCUGCACAGCAGGAGACCUUGCCUUGAUCUUUGAAGGUCUACAGCAAGUGGUCUAGGCUAACUCAGUGCUGGGCAAAUGGAGCAAAAACUCUUUUCUGCUUCCUUGCCUCCAUGUCUUUCAGAGCUAGCAGAUACAGCUUUUGUUCUAUAGGAGUGAUUCUUUCUAAAUGUCAGCUCAACAGGAUGAUGGUCACUCUUGUAUAUCACUUAGGCAUGAGUUCUGUUGAAUCCCA
Molecule: long non-coding RNA, 4773 nt
Filed under: Homo sapiens (human)
Lineage: Eukaryota; Metazoa; Chordata; Mammalia; Primates; Hominidae
Description: HSALNT0063788
Source: RNAcentral